Molecule: small nucleolar RNA, 134 nt
Organism: Bison bison bison
Lineage: Eukaryota; Metazoa; Chordata; Mammalia; Artiodactyla; Bovidae
Gene: SNORA71
Rfam family: Small nucleolar RNA SNORA71
About the family: The members of this family belong to the H/ACA class of snoRNAs which bind a number of proteins (including dyskerin, Gar1p and Nop10p) to form snoRNP complexes. This class of snoRNAs are thought to guide the sites of modification of uridines to pseudouridines by forming direct base pairing interactions with substrate RNAs.
Source: Ensembl
CCCUGCAUUCGAAAGUGAUCGUGGGCUGCCGGUGCCUUGGUCAUUGAUAGUGCAGGGAGAGGAAUCGCUGAGGGCGUUUUCCCCGUGUUUGGAGGGUCCAUCCUGUCCCUUCUGAACUCUGGAGCUGUCACACA